Molecule: long non-coding RNA, 1236 nt
Organism: Anguilla rostrata (American eel)
Lineage: Eukaryota; Metazoa; Chordata; Actinopteri; Anguilliformes; Anguillidae
Exons: 3
Source: RefSeq, a predicted model, not a curated record
UUCAUCAGUGUCUGGCGCCCGUGUUUAACGGGUCCUCACAGCCACCUGCUCUGGUCCAGUUUGUGGAUGCUCCUCCGUCGCAUGCUGGCAGUGAGGCGGAGCAUCGAGUACUGUCAUCGGAGCUGCUGCAUCCUCAGGCAGAUCGAAAUCUGUGAAUCUGUGAAAGGUGUGUGCUGUGAAAACAACAUUCAUGAGGUGUGAAUUUAUUUAUUUAUUUAAAGAUAAAAUUAAGUAUUUAUUUAUUGACCAAUUUCUAUAUAUAUAUAUAUAUAUAUAUAUAUAUAUAUAUAUCAUUCCACAUUUAUUUUAUUUUGUCCUCCAUACAACUCAAGUAAGCACUGUUGUACUGAUGUCAAUUUUCCCACAAAAGAAGAGGCAAAAUAAACCAGGCAAUGUGAUAGUGUCUGUAAAACUGCAUGUGUUAAAUAUAUGGCUAAAAUAAACAUUAUCGUACUGCUACCAAUGUAUCUCGAGAAAGUAAGUAAACAAAAGUACAUUUCCCCCUGGAGUGCGAAUAUUUCCAGUUCGAAACAACCUUAUUAUAAGUUACCGCUGAAAACAUCACACCCCGUUAACGUUUGGGGCGCAGGAUUUUGUUUGUCGAUCCACGAAAUCCGGCAAUUUCAAAAUGAGAGUGCGAGGACAGCGGUGGUUUUUGUCACUUGCACUGUGCUUGCGAUGGACCCGCUCUAUGCAGAUUAUCUUGCCUUGCUAACGAGAGGAUGCAUUUUGGAAGGAUCUUCCUGAGGAAACCGAUUGCGUCUUCACCCUUUUCGUUCUCGGCGAGGCCUACUAUUCUCAGAUCGGAGCGCCUGCUUCUGUUGUCCAUCUCAGCUCCGCUAACGCCUGGGUGCGUGUCAGGCUAAGUUUGUCGCUCUCGCGAGGUUCAUUAAAGUCUCCUUACCAAGGCUUAGGGACCAUCUGACAUUUCACGCUGUCCGCCGAGCCCUGUCGGAGAGAGACGCCAAACUCUCCCUGCCCCCCCUCGGCCCCCGUUUUGGGACCGGCCACAAAGGUCAGGCGUGACGUGGCGCUUGUUUUGCAAAGCACGUUUUGGCAUGCGAGGGGCUUAUUAAACACACUAAUGAAGUUUUUUCUCAGGAAAGCACAUCUCAUUAAAGGACACGGAGCACAAGAGGGACACCCGCACCGCCUCCGGCAGAACAGAGCGGCGAACAUCGCCACGGAGACCCGCGCAUUCCCCGUUUAAAAACAUUAAACCUAUCUGACGCAAGA